This 468-nucleotide ribosomal RNA is filed under the name uncultured bacterium. RNAcentral describes it as "partial 16S ribosomal RNA". It matches the Rfam family "Bacterial small subunit ribosomal RNA", at positions 28 to 507 of the family's 1533-position model. The record is from RNAcentral.
GACGAACGCUGGCGGCGUGCUUAACACAUGCAAGUCGAACGGAAAGGCCCUGCUUUUGUGGGGUGCUCGAGUGGCGAACGGGUGAGUAACACGCGAGUAACCUGCCCUUGACUUUGGGAUAACUUCAGGAAACUGGGGCUAAUACCGGAUAGGAGCUCCCGCUGCACGGUGGGGGUUGGAAAGUUUCGGCGGUUGGGGCUGGUCUCGCGGCUUAUCAGCUUGUUGGUGGGGUAGUGGCUUACCAAGGCUUUGACGGGUAGCCGGCCUGAGAGGGUGGCCGGCCACAUUGGGACUGAGAUACGGCCCAGACUCCUACGGGAGGCAGCAGGGGGGAGUAUUGCACAAUGGGCGGAAGCCUGAUGCAGCAACGCCGCGUGCGGGAUGACGGCCUUCGGGUUGUAAACCGCUUUCGCCUGUGACGAAGCGUGAGUGACGGUAAUGGGUAAAGAAGCACCGGCUAACUACGUG